This 253-nucleotide ribosomal RNA is filed under the name uncultured bacterium. RNAcentral's name for it is "partial 16S ribosomal RNA". It matches the Rfam family "Bacterial small subunit ribosomal RNA", at positions 524 to 776 of the family's 1533-position model. The record is from RNAcentral.
UACGUAGGCAGCAAGCGUUGUUCGGAGUUACUGGGCGUAAAGAGUCUGUAGGCGGUUCUCUAAGUUUGGUGUGAAAUCUCCCGGCUUAACCGGGAGGGUGCGCCGAAGACUGGGGUGCUGGAGUCUGGGAGAGGAAAGCGGAAUUCCUGGUGUAGCGGUGAAAUGCGUAGAUAUCAGGAGGAACACCGGUGGUGUAGACGGCUUUCUGGACCAGUACUGACGCUGAGAGACGAAAGCGUGGGGAGCAAACAGG